This is a long non-coding RNA of Spinacia oleracea (spinach), 573 nucleotides long. RefSeq lists it as uncharacterized. The record is from RefSeq and is a predicted model, not a curated record. Lineage: Eukaryota; Viridiplantae; Streptophyta; Magnoliopsida; Caryophyllales; Amaranthaceae. The transcript is spliced from 2 exons.
UCGAAGGAUGGAAUUACAUAAAAUUGUUACAAAAAAAAUUAAAUUGUAAAUAGAAACAUUUGAACAAAAAGUAUAAGCAAGGGCAACCGGGAUCCAGUUAACCAAAAGUUUUAAAUAUGGCCCAAAUCAAAUCUCACAAGGCAAGCCCAUAAAUAAAAAAUUUCGAUAGGGUUUCACUAUAUAAAGUCGCAAAACCCUUAUUUCACCUGUUUCCUAUCCAAACUUCCUUUCCUGCCUCAUCGGCUGCUGUAUCUGAUUAGGGUUUUGAGGUUGCCGUCUUUUUUCAUCCUUUCACCAUGAGGGCCAAGUGGAAGAAGAAGCGUAUGAGGAGGUUGAAGAGGAAGCGUCGAAAGAUGAGACAGAGAUCCAAGUAGGAGACGAUCGAUCUUCAACUGCUGCGGUUACUCUUCUAGUUUUUAAUUUUCCGUCGUUUCGUUUAAAUCUUAGCCGUUCGAUUAGCUAUUUUCUAUGGCUGUUAUCGGAGAGUUUUAGGUACUCAGUUUUUUGUGUCAUGUAAUUUGAUACAGAUAAACAUGAAUUUUGCAGUAAUCUUAUCGAAACUUUUGCUCUUAA